Lepidothrix coronata (blue-crowned manakin) is the source of this 690-nucleotide long non-coding RNA. RefSeq lists it as uncharacterized. NCBI's taxonomy places the organism in Eukaryota, Metazoa, Chordata, Aves, Passeriformes, Pipridae. The record is from RefSeq and is a predicted model, not a curated record. The transcript has 5 exons.
CGCAGGCGCGGGGACGCGCCUCACCCCACCCCGGGAUCGCGCACCUGAGGGGGCACGGUGGGCUCGACCUUCAGAUGGAGUGGGUUAGCCGAGAGAUCCUGCUAGAGUCUGUCACAGGAAGCUGUCAAACCACAAGUGUUUAAGUAAACACAGGAUUUGCCUGUGUGCCUGCUGGGGAAUUCACUGAAUGAGGGAGGUGGGGCUGAGCAGUGGAGCUUCAUCCAAAAGACAUUCCCAUGGGACAGAGAACCUGCCUGGAAGCCUCACCCCAAAGUCACUGGCUGGAAGGAACAGCAACCCUCAGGUGCAUAAUCCUGCAUCAUCCAGGAGCCCAUGGAAGCAGGAGGGGCAUGCUUUCAGGGCCCCUGCAGGGAUGUACUAAGAACUGAGAAAAGGUGUGGAUUUUUUGAGGCGCUGCUUGGUUACAAAUAGUGCUGAUCAACUCAUAAAUUCCAGCACUGGGACAGCUGGCAGAAGCUUUCAGGCAGAAUGAAAGUCACAAUUGAAAAUCAGUUCUGAAACUGAUGAAAACUGCAGUGGGAUGCUGCAGGAGUAUUGGAGAGAGAUGUAUGAUUUUUAUGCAUCAGAAUGCUGUCAUUUGCAAUUGUUUCAGGCUCAGUGUGUGUCACUUCAGAGUGGUAGAGCUACUAGGCACAAUGUACCAUUGACCUUAAAAAGAUUAUUUGUUAA